GGGCGAAUGGUUUAGUGGUAUAAUGCAUCCUUAGCAUCCUCACAGGAACGCGACUGGAUGAGGUCCGGGGUUCGAUUCCCCGUUUGUCCA
This 90-nucleotide transfer RNA is filed under the name Hirsutella minnesotensis 3608. It matches the Rfam family "tRNA". From Rfam's summary of the family: Transfer RNA (tRNA) molecules are approximately 80 nucleotides in length. Their secondary structure includes four short double-helical elements and three loops (D, anti-codon, and T loops). Lineage: Eukaryota; Fungi; Ascomycota; Sordariomycetes; Hypocreales; Ophiocordycipitaceae. The record is from Rfam by way of RNAcentral.